This 435-nucleotide ribosomal RNA is filed under the name Triticum aestivum (bread wheat). RNAcentral's name for it is "partial small subunit ribosomal RNA". The record is from RNAcentral. Lineage: Eukaryota; Viridiplantae; Streptophyta; Magnoliopsida; Poales; Poaceae.
AUGAAAGCGCUUUUCUGGAAUGUUAGAGGUUUCGGGGCACGGGGGCGCCGGGACCAAAUGAAAGACAUCGUUAGGGGUGAGAAUAUUGACCUGAUCGGUUUAGUUAAAACCUUUAAACCCUCCUUCUCUCCUCGUGAACUUUCUGCAGUUACGGGUGUCGACCGUUUUGACUGGAAUUGUCUCCCUUCAUCGGGUCACUCGGGUGGUAUUCUUAUUGGUUCCAAACGUGACGUCUUCGAUUUUGUUACCUUCGACCAUGGUAUUUUCUGGGCUAGCUCGGAUGUGUUUCACCGCCAACUUAAUACUCUUUGGGAAGUGAUGGUAGUAUACGGCCCGGCGGAUCAUUCUCUUUCCCCCUUAUUCCUGGAUGAAAUCUCUAAUAAGGUCGAAUCCUGCACCCUUGCCCUUCUAAUUGGUGGUGACUUCAACCUGCUG